AGAUGUGAGGGCAAUCUGGCUGGGACAUCUAUCACUCAUUGGUUGGCAGGGUUUAUUCAGCUGAUCUGGCUGGCUAGUUAGGUGUCCCUUUCCUCUCUCACUGCUCUAUGUUCAUUCCUCCUGAAGCUGAGUGCUUAGUGGAAGAGGACAACCUUCCCGGAUAGAAGAGGGUUUGUGUUCAGUCAAGUGUAUAUAAAUAUCUGCAUGCCCUGCUAGACCUUCCAAACAAGCUCUCAAGAGCCUCAGGGGUCUGGAGGAGGGAAAGAAUAACUUUCAUAUGUGUACAUUUGGGGGUGAUUAU
This 301-nucleotide small nuclear RNA is filed under the name Jaculus jaculus (lesser Egyptian jerboa). Its description in RNAcentral is "7SK RNA (ENSJJAG00000002675.1)". It matches the Rfam family "7SK RNA". From Rfam's summary of the family: 7SK was discovered as an abundant small nuclear RNA in the mid-70s but a possible function has only recently been suggested. Two independent studies have found that 7SK RNA binds the CDK9/cyclin T complex (known as elongation factor P-TEFb). Lineage: Eukaryota; Metazoa; Chordata; Mammalia; Rodentia; Dipodidae. The record is from RNAcentral.